AUCACUUCUCGGCCUUUUGGCUAAGAUCAAGUGUAGUUGGACCUCAUUUAACUUUAAUUCCUUACAGGCCCUGUCUCCAAAUACAGUCACAAUGGGGAUUAGGGCUUCACCAU
RNAcentral lists this small nuclear RNA (113 nucleotides) under Zalophus californianus (California sea lion). RNAcentral's name for it is "U2 spliceosomal RNA (ENSZCAG00015016728.1)". It matches the Rfam family "U2 spliceosomal RNA". Rfam says of the family: U2 is a small nuclear RNA (snRNA) component of the spliceosome (involved in pre-mRNA splicing). Complementary binding between U2 snRNA (in an area lying towards the 5' end but 3' to hairpin I) and the branchpoint sequence (BPS) of the intron results the bulging out of an unpaired adenosine, on the BPS, which initiates a nucleophilic attack at the intronic 5' splice site, thus starting the first of two transesterification reactions that mediate splicing. The record is from RNAcentral. Lineage: Eukaryota; Metazoa; Chordata; Mammalia; Carnivora; Otariidae.